CAUUCUUUGGUUUGGAUGUUUUUGCCUCUAGCUUUGGAAUUAACAUAUAACUAAUUGUUUUGGAUAAUGUCAGUACAUCUUCAAUCAUAAUUCAGAAGACUAGACAGAGAAUGAAAGCAGACAUUUACUACUUGUUGAUUUUUUUCUGCCUUUUUACAAGAGGGGGCGCUGUCGACUGCAAUGGACGCUGUGCCUGUUGCAUUGACGGAGAAUCAGGGUGUGGAACACAGCCAGGAUUAAAAGAUGAUACAAUCUGUUUAAAAGGAUGCGUUGAUACUAUAUAUGGUCAUAGAUGUAAAAAUCCUUGUAAAGAAAAUUGUUUGAGAUGUUCUCAAGACACAGGUUCUGAUUGUAAUGCCUGCAAACCUGGAUAUUAUGGCAGACCAACUCACUGUACUGAGCCUUGUCCAAAUCGAUGUUUAAAUAACACAUGUGAGGAAAACGGCAGUUGUAUAUGCAUACCAAACUCUGAAGGCAACAAGUGUGAAACAUGCGUUCAGGGGCUUUAUGGAGAUAAUUGUGACAAAGAAUGUGCUCACCAAAAUUGCAGAUGUACAGAACAAAAUAAUUGCAUUUCAUGCAAAGAUAAAUAUACUGGUGAGUUCUGCCAAAACACUUGUUCUAUAGGCUGCAUUGACGCAACUUGCAAUAAAAAUGGUAGCUGCAGCUGUCUU
Long non-coding RNA from Mya arenaria, 674 nucleotides. RefSeq lists it as uncharacterized. The record is from RefSeq and is a predicted model, not a curated record. Lineage: Eukaryota; Metazoa; Mollusca; Bivalvia; Myida; Myidae. The transcript has 3 exons.